Molecule: ribosomal RNA, 473 nt
Filed under: uncultured cyanobacterium
Lineage: Bacteria; Bacillati; Cyanobacteriota
Description: bacterial SSU rRNA
Rfam family: Bacterial small subunit ribosomal RNA
Source: RNAcentral
CGUGCCAGCAGCCGCGGUAAUACGGAGGAUGCAAGCGUUAUCCGGAAUGAUUGGGCGUAAAGGGUCCGCAGGUGGCAUUGUAAGUCUGCUGUUAAAGAGUUUGGCUCAACCAAAUAAGAGCAGUGGAAACUACAAAGCUAGAGUGUGGUCGGGGCAGAGGGAAUUCCUGGUGUAGCGGUGAAAUGCGUAGAUAUCAGGAAGAACACCAGUGGCGAAGGCGCUCUGCUAGGCCGAGACUGACACUGAGGGACGAAAGCUAGGGGAGCGAAUGGGAUUAGAUACCCCAGUAGUCCUAGCCGUAAACGAUGGAUACUAGGCGUAGCUCGUAUCGACCCGAGCUGUGCCGGAGCUAACGCGUUAAGUAUCCCGCCUGGGGAGUACGCAGGCAACUGUGAAACUCAAAGGAAUUGNCGGGGGCCCGCACAAGCGGUGGAGUAUGUGGUUUAAUUCGAUGCAACGCGAAGAACCUUACC